This 439-nucleotide ribosomal RNA is filed under the name uncultured bacterium. RNAcentral describes it as "partial 16S ribosomal RNA". It matches the Rfam family "Bacterial small subunit ribosomal RNA", at positions 354 to 796 of the family's 1533-position model. The record is from RNAcentral.
GUGGGGGAUAUUGCACAAUGGGGGAAACCCUGAUGCAGCGACGCCGCGUGAGUGAAGAAGUAUUUCGGUAUGUAAAGCUCUAUCAGCAGGGAAGAAAGACCCGCAAGGGGGAUGACGGUACCUGAGUAAGAAGCCCCGGCUAACUACGUGCCAGCAGCCGCGGUAAUACGUAGGGGGCAAGCGUUAUCCGGAUUUACUGGGUGUAAAGGGAGCGCAGACGGUUAUGCAAGUCUGGAGUGAAAACCCACAGCUCAACUGUGGGCUUGCUUUGGAAACUGUGUAACUGGAGUACUGGAGAGGUAAGCGGAAUUCCUAGUGUAGCGGUGAAAUGCGUAGAUAUUAGGAGGAACACCGGUGGCGAAGGCGGCCACCUGGACAGGUACUGACGCUGAGGCGCGAAAGCGUGGGGAGCAAACAGGAUUAGAUACCCCUGUAGUCC